GCCGGAGUAGCUUAGUGGUAAAGCGCCACGCUCAUAACGUGGAGAUCGCGAGUUCAAUUCUCGUCUCCGGCA
RNAcentral lists this transfer RNA (72 nucleotides) under Candidatus Aenigmatarchaeota archaeon. RNAcentral's name for it is "tRNA-Met". It matches the Rfam family "tRNA". From Rfam's summary of the family: Transfer RNA (tRNA) molecules are approximately 80 nucleotides in length. Lineage: Archaea; Nanobdellati; Candidatus Aenigmatarchaeota. The record is from RNAcentral.